Molecule: ribosomal RNA, 796 nt
Filed under: uncultured bacterium
Lineage: Bacteria
Description: bacterial SSU rRNA
Rfam family: Bacterial small subunit ribosomal RNA
Source: RNAcentral
AGAGUUUGAUCMUGGCUCAGAACGAACGCUGGCGGCACGUUUUAAGCAUGCAAGUCGAAUGGGAAGGGGAGCAAUCCCCUGAGAAUGGCGAACGGGUGAGUAACACGUAGAUGAUCUGCCUUGAGGUUGGGGAUAGCCUGUGGAAACACAGGGUAAUACCGAAUAAGGUUCGAGGGCUUUGGCCCUAGAAAGAAAGGGGCGUAUGCCCCGCCUUGAGAUGAGUCUGCGGCUGAUUAGCUAGUUGGUAGGGUAAAGGCCUACCAAGGCGACGAUCAGUAGCCGGCCUGAGAGGGUGUACGGCCACACYGGGACUGAGACACGGCCCAGACUCCUACGGGAGGCAGCAGCUAAGAAUCUUCCGCAAUGGGGGCAACCCUGACGGAGCGAUGCCGCGUGGAUGACGAAGGUCGAGAGAUUGUAAAGUCCUUUUCUGGAUGAAGAAUAAGCAUCGGAGGAAAUGCCGGUGUGAUGACAUUAGUUCAGGAAUARGCCCCGGCCAAUUACGUGCCAGCAGCCGCGGUAACACGUAAGGGGCGAGCGUUGUUCGGAAUUAUUGGGCGUAAAGGGCGUGCAGGCGGUUUGACAAGUCUGUUGUGAAAGACCGGGGCUUAACUCCGGAGGCGCGGUGGAAACUGUCAGACUAGAGUACUGGAGGGGGAGCUGGAAUUCCUAGUGUAGGGGUGAAAUCUGUUGAUAUUAGGAAGAACACCGGUGGCGAAGGCGAGCUCCUGGCCGAGUACUGACGCUGAGGCGCGAAAGCGUAGGUAGCAAACAGGAUUAGAUACCCUGGUAGUCC